AAACUCUCUCUUCUCUCACACUUCCAUUUUCAUAUCCUUGCAAAUUCUGCUCAAAAUUUCAAAAGACCACGAGCUACUCUUGCUUCCUUCAUCACCUAGCCAUCAUUUGGGGUUCUUUUGAAGCAUCAAACCACCACUGCACAGCCAUUUUCGAGCUCUGUUUCUUCAUGGAUCUUCAAUGGUGAAUCGAGAUUUGGAAGUUUCCAGGCAUCAUUAAGCUAACCUACCUCAAGUAUCCAUCAUUCCACAGCAUAAGGAACAUCUGUUU
RNAcentral lists this long non-coding RNA (268 nucleotides) under Lathyrus oleraceus (garden pea). RNAcentral describes it as "Pisum sativum (pea) long non-coding RNA (PSAT_LNC005720)". Lineage: Eukaryota; Viridiplantae; Streptophyta; Magnoliopsida; Fabales; Fabaceae. The record is from RNAcentral.